UUGUACACACCGCCCGUCACACCAUGGGAGCCGGUAACGCCCGAAGUCAGUGGCCCAACCGAGAGGGGGGAGCUGCCGAAGGCGGGACUGGUAACUGGGGUGAAGUCGUAACAAGGUAGC
RNAcentral lists this ribosomal RNA (120 nucleotides) under uncultured bacterium. RNAcentral's name for it is "partial 16S ribosomal RNA". It matches the Rfam family "Bacterial small subunit ribosomal RNA", at positions 1381 to 1500 of the family's 1533-position model. The record is from RNAcentral.